UGGAGCCCACCCACCCACUCACCUACUCAGUACUGAGGGGUGUGCUGCGCAGCGCUACGAUGCUUUAACAGAGGAGGCAGACGGAAGGCAAAACGAAGUUUUCGUUUCCUUAAAGAAGAAAAUAUGUAGGGAAUGUGUCGUGAGGAUCAAAGAGCCGGAUCAGAUAGUGUGAGACGCUGGAUGCCGACACCGGGAUCCAGGCUGUGUGAGGUACUUUGGAUUCCGUGCUGCCCCCCCACGACCCCCAGAAGACCGACAACCAAGGACCACAGACCAGGUCAAAGAAGUCCCCUGGGUAGACAUUGAACGCUGUCCUCUGCAGAAUCCAAAGCGUUUUUUUCAUGUUCUUUGUGAGGAGUGGGCUGCCGUCCUGACACAAGGUUGACACGCCAGGAUUAAACUCUCCUGCUCACCUGCAAGGCCCUUCAUCACACAAGUCCCGAGUACCUCCUCAACCUGCUGACCCGCUAUGUCCCCGUCCGCAAGCUGAGGUCCUCCGACUCUGGCCUGCUUGUUAUACCCAAGCAAAAGUGCACCACACUUGGAGAACGCUCGUUUAGCUUCAUGGCCCUGACUCUCUGGAACUCUCUCCCAGCUUUGGUGCAUGAUGCUUCCACCGUCGCUCACUUUAAAUCAACUCAAGACCCACCUGUUCUCUCUUGCUUUCCAUGCUCUUUAAGCCUGAUAUCUGCUAUUAGCUGCUGUGUUGCUGCUACUAUUUCAUGUAUUAUGCUACUAUCAUGUAUAAUGCACUUUCCACUGUAUUUAAUGUAUUAUGCAUUGUUUUGUACUCUAUAGCAUGUAUUAUGUAUUUCUCUGUAUUUAAAGUAUUAUGGAUUUUCUUGUUGUUACUGCAUCUUGUAAAGCGCUUUGUGAUGGUGGUCCACUAUGAAAGGCGCUAUAUAAAAUA
Molecule: long non-coding RNA, 910 nt
Organism: Acipenser ruthenus (sterlet)
Lineage: Eukaryota; Metazoa; Chordata; Actinopteri; Acipenseriformes; Acipenseridae
Exons: 5
Source: RefSeq, a predicted model, not a curated record